UCAUGAAAUUGGCCACAGCUUUUCUGUUUCACUAUGGAAAGGACAGACACAGGUGGAAGCUACACCUCUGGCACAGAUUAGGUACCUAAACACACUUCCUGCCUCUGGCUAGUUGUUGGAGCCUGAGCUGCAUAAGCAAAUAAGUACGAGUAGUUUUUUUCUCCCCCUUCGAUCUGAAAACUUAAGACCCAGCCAGUGAGCACUUGAUUAGAACAUCGCCAUGGGGUUCCUGAGCCGGACAGAUUGAGAACAGCCCUGUCUGAAAAGGAUUCUGAAAUUAUAAUCCAGGUCAGAUUGGAGAGGCAGAAGAGUUUGCAGAUUGCUCAGCCACUGAUUUAAGCUUUGUUCUCUCAAACACUUCGAUGUAGUGGUGGCCAUGGCAACUAGCUGAACAAGGAACUGUGUCCUUUUAACAUCAAGACUCUGAUUGGUCCAUCCUGAGACAUGUGUGCAUCUCUAGACUAAUUACUGUCUCCAGGGGAAGAGUUUCCAGAGAUAAGGCCAUCCCGCCUUCCUUCUGGAGCAGAGAGGGAGACACCCCCCACAGAUGGAGACUUCCUUCACAAAUGCAAACGUCUCUCAUCAAAGGGCAAGUAAAUUCCACUCCUCUGAGCCUCCCUCUCAUCUGCAGUUUUUUAAAAUUAACCAGCCGAAAUCCUCAUCAGCCAUGGCAACUAGCUGAACAAGGAAUUGUGUCCUUUUAACAUCAAGACUCUGAUUGGUCCAUCCUGAGACAUGUGUGCAUCUCUAGACUAAUUACUGUCUCCAGGGGAAGGAAUUCCCAGUGUCUCAGAAAAUGAUAACCAGCAGGAGAGCGUAUAUAAGAAAAUAGCAUAAAGAUGCUGGCAGCAAACCAAGGUUGGUUACAGAUUAUUUGUGUUGACACUCCUGUCGCUCUAUGUGAAUGCUCCUCUCAUAUCAAGAAGCAAAGUCUGGAUCCAUGAAUCUUGACUGGCCUUGGAACUUGCCUUGACCAACAGAUAGCAUCACAAGCGAUGCUCUGGGAUAUCUGAGCUGAAGCCGUAAAAGAACUGGAAGCUCCCACUCACCUUCUCUUGGAGCCCAGUUGCCCUGCUGUAAAGAAGUCAGACUAGACUGUGGAAUGGACUUGGAAUCAGUGAGAGAGGUGAACAGAAACACUUGUAAUUUGUUUUGCGAGGAACAUCAGACUUUGAAGGGGACACAGAGGGGCC
RNAcentral lists this long non-coding RNA (1193 nucleotides) under Equus caballus (horse). Its description in RNAcentral is "lncRNA (ENSECAG00000053520.1)". Lineage: Eukaryota; Metazoa; Chordata; Mammalia; Perissodactyla; Equidae. The record is from RNAcentral.